CCUACGGGGGACAGCAGUGAGGAAUAUUGGGCAAUGGGCGCAAGCCUGACCCAGCAACGCCGCGUGAAGGAAGAAGGCUUUCGGGUUGUAAACUUCUUUUGUCAGGGAAGAGUAGAAGACGGUACCUGACGAAUAAGCCACGGCUAACUACGUGCCAGCAGCCGCGGUAAUACGUAGGUGGCAAGCGUUGUCCGGAUUUACUGGGUGUAAAGGGCGUGUAGCCGGGUUGACAAGUCAGAUGUGAAAUCCUGCGGCUUAACCGCAGAACUGCAUUUGAAACUGUUGAUCUUGAGUACUGGAGAGGCAGACGGAAUUCCUAGUGUAGCGGUGAAAUGCGUAGAUAUUAGGAGGAACACCAGUGGCGAAGGCGGUCUGCUGGACAGCAACUGACGGUGAGGCGCGAAAGCGUGGGGAGCAAACAGGAUUAGAUACCCCAGUAGUC
Molecule: ribosomal RNA, 442 nt
Filed under: uncultured bacterium
Lineage: Bacteria
Description: partial 16S ribosomal RNA
Rfam family: Bacterial small subunit ribosomal RNA
Source: RNAcentral